RNAcentral lists this non-coding RNA (156 nucleotides) under unclassified sequences. RNAcentral's name for it is "DUF2800 RNA". It matches the Rfam family "DUF2800 RNA". Rfam says of the family: Actinobacteria, Firmicutes, Synergistetes (1 example). Terminator (Clostridia) The record is from RNAcentral.
CCGCUUGAUACCGCACCAAUUGAUCACUGGUGGCUCAACGGAGUCAAGCGGACAAGUGAACAUCGUAGCUGCCUAUUGAGCGGGUGUGCUGCAUUCCGAAACGGAGAAAUUCGUUUGGACUGCGGUUGGUUUCGCAUACCCAUAUGCAGCUUUCAG